GCUUUCUUAUUGGAUCAUUACUCCACUACGUAAGAGAUAACACAGCUUACUUAAAUUGUUAUGGGAAUAAGACUGGUUUUAACAGACAUAAAAAGGCAUAUCUACUCGAAUUGCAAGUACUUUGGGACAUGUGACAUGUUGAUACAAAUUAAUUUAUCAAAAUAAUUGACUUAUAAUAAACUCUAUUUACUUCCAAGAGUGUAUUCGUAGUAGCUCAAACUUCAGUGAUGAAAGUUGCAGAAUCUUUAGGUUUACUAACACUAGCGUAGAAAGAUCUUUUCUUUUCUCCUCCUCCCGCACAGCUUCACCCUUUCCUGUGUUAUCACUAAUGUUUACCUAGUGCACAAAGGGAAAACAUAUGCGCACAAGGGUUUUCAAGAUGAAAUCGAAUAUCUUUAGUUGAAGAUAGUUACUGGGAUUUUUGUACAUAUAUGUAGCAAAGAAAAGCAAAUUUCUGCAUAUAUCCACAGUAAAAAUAUUAGAAGGAACAGCGCUUAUCACCCUCGCCAUUAUAAAAGCAUCAUUAUCGAAACCUUAAUAUUGAUUUUGUUUCAACAAUUUUCCGUUUAACAUUGCACUCAAUUUGUUUUCGUCAGAAUGGGACACUUAUUUCAAGCUUGAAUAUUUGAUGGUAGUAGCUAAUUGCUGUGUGCACAACUUGAAAUUGAAGACCUAUCAAAGCUAAUGUGGAAAACGAUAUUACUGGCUCAGCGUGAUGAAAUCCAUUUCAAUCGCCGCCGCUUGAAGACACUUUUUUUUAGCAGUAUUGGGUAAAAUCCCUGGCGAACAGAGAUCGGCGACUCACUUUCAAUGCAUAAAGUUGUCAUCUCCUUUUCACAUGUCAAUAUCUUUAAAAAAUACAAGAGCAUCAACAUAUCCAUUCUUUCUCUUUUUUAUUAAGUCUGUUUGACUUCUCAUUCGUUAAGAAUACUGUAGAUCGGAUCGGACAACUCUAUAGCAUUCAUGUGUAGAAGAAAUAAAUACUUGAAGUUCUG
This is a long non-coding RNA of Octopus sinensis (East Asian common octopus), 995 nucleotides long. RefSeq lists it as uncharacterized. The record is from RefSeq and is a predicted model, not a curated record. NCBI's taxonomy places the organism in Eukaryota, Metazoa, Mollusca, Cephalopoda, Octopoda, Octopodidae. The transcript is spliced from 2 exons.